GACGAACGCUGGCGGCGUGCUUAACACAUGCAAGUCGAACGGAAAGGCCCUGCUUUUGUGGGGUGCUCGAGUGGCGAACGGGUGAGUAACACGUGAGUAGCCUGCCCUUGACUUUGGGAUAACUUCAGGAAACUGGGGCUAAUACCGGAUAGGAGCUCCUGCUGCAUGGUGGGGGUUGGAAAGUUUCGGCGGUUGGGGAUGGACUCGCGGCUUAUCAGCUUGUUGGUGGGGUAGUGGCUUACCAAGGCUUUGACGGGUAGCCGGCCUGAGAGGGUGACCGGCCACAUUGGGACUGAGAUACGGCCCAGACUCCAACGGGAGGCAGCGGUGGGGAGUAUUGCACAGUGGGAGGAAGCCUGAUGCGGCAACGCCGCGUGCGGGAUGACGGCCUUCGGGUUGUGAACCGCUUUCGCCUGUGACGAAGCGUGAGUGACGGUAAUGGGUAAAGAAGCACCGGCUAACUACGUG
This 468-nucleotide ribosomal RNA is filed under the name uncultured bacterium. Its description in RNAcentral is "partial 16S ribosomal RNA". It matches the Rfam family "Bacterial small subunit ribosomal RNA", at positions 28 to 507 of the family's 1533-position model. The record is from RNAcentral.